AAGAACCACAACACACACAACCAGUCCCCAAAAUGGCACAGAAAUGGCAUCAGGAAACCCCGAUCACAAAGAUACAAAUGUCUUAAUGGGGUGGACCUCAAGUUCCUAAGGAGCAUGCACCUUGCCAAGAAGCACAACAAGAAGGGCCUAAAAAAGAUGCAGGCCAACAAUGCCGAGGCCAUGAGGGCACGUGCUGAGGCUAUCAAGGUCCUCGAAAGCCCAAGGAGGUUAAGCCCAAGAUCCCAAAGGGUGUCAGCCGCAAGCUCGAUUGACUUGCCUACAUUGCCCACCCCAAGCUUGGGAAGCGUGCUCGUGCCUGCAUUGCCAAGGGGCUCAGGCUGUGCCGGCCAAAGGCCAAGGCCAAGGACCAAACCAAGGCCCAGGCUGCAGCUCCAGCUUCAGUUCUAGCUCAGGCUCCCAAAGCUGUCCAGGCCCCUACAAAGGUUUCAGAGUAG
RNAcentral lists this long non-coding RNA (455 nucleotides) under Homo sapiens (human). Its description in RNAcentral is "non-protein coding lnc-MRPL14-3:1". The record is from RNAcentral. Lineage: Eukaryota; Metazoa; Chordata; Mammalia; Primates; Hominidae.